This 88-nucleotide transfer RNA is filed under the name Bacillus anthracis str. Sterne. Its description in RNAcentral is "tRNA-Leu". It matches the Rfam family "tRNA". Rfam says of the family: Transfer RNA (tRNA) molecules are approximately 80 nucleotides in length. RNAcentral also lists the same sequence under 3 other names. Lineage: Bacteria; Bacillati; Bacillota; Bacilli; Caryophanales; Bacillaceae. The record is from RNAcentral.
GCCGAUGUGGCGGAAUUGGCAGACGCGCACGACUCAAAAUCGUGUUCCUUCGGGAGUGUCGGUUCGACCCCGACCAUCGGUAUCACGA